GUGCUCCCUUUGGCAGCACAUAUACGAAAAAUUGGAGCGACACAGAGAAGAUUAGCAUGGCCCCCGUGCAAGGAUCACACUCAAAUUUGUGAAGCCUAGGGCUGCCUU
Molecule: small nuclear RNA, 108 nt
Organism: Psammomys obesus (fat sand rat)
Lineage: Eukaryota; Metazoa; Chordata; Mammalia; Rodentia; Muridae
Source: RefSeq, a predicted model, not a curated record